RNAcentral lists this ribosomal RNA (489 nucleotides) under uncultured bacterium. Its description in RNAcentral is "partial 16S ribosomal RNA". It matches the Rfam family "Bacterial small subunit ribosomal RNA", at positions 899 to 1397 of the family's 1533-position model. The record is from RNAcentral.
ACUCAAAUGAAUUGACGGGGGCCCGCACAAGCAGCGGAGCGUGUGGUUUAAUUCGACGCAACGCGCAACACCUUACCAGGGAUUGACAUCCCCAGAAGCCGGCUGAAAGGCUGGUGUGCCCGCAAGGGAGCUGGGAGACAGGUGCUGCAUGGCUGUCGUCAGCUCGUGUCGUGAGAUGUUGGGUUAAGUCCCGCAACGAGCGCAACCCCCGUGGCUAGUUACGUGGUUGUCUAGCCAGACUGCCGGCAGCAAACCGGAGGAAGGUGGGGAUGAUGUCAAGUCAGCAUGGCCCUUACACCCUGGGCGACACACACGCUACAAUGGCCGGGACAGUGGGCAGCCAAGCGGUAACGCGGAGCCAAUCCCCCAAACCCGGUCUCAGUUCAGAUUGAGGGCUGCAACUCGCCCUCAUGAAGGCGGAGUUGCUAGUAACCGCAGAUCAGCAUUGCUGCGGUGAAUAUGUUCCCGGGCCUUGUACACACCGCCCGU